CUUGUGUGCCUUCCUCGACACAGCCUCUUGCCUUCUCCUGUCAUCUCUGGUUCUCCAACACCACCGCUGUCACCUGUCAGCCCCCCUGCUCACCCUCAGCCCACCAUCUGUGCGCUGGAUUCGCCACGGGUCGGCCAGUCUCCAUCGGCGUCGUGGCUGGAGGAUCCCUUGUCUCCGCUUCCAGCCUCCAAGUCCCUCACUCCGCCUCAGCCCGUCGACUCCACCAUGGCUCCUAGCUCCCUCGUCUCCACCGUGGCCGAUCAGUCCACCAGCUCCACCGGUCUCCAUCUUCCCUCCGGCUCCGCCUUUGUCAGCCGUCGACCAUCCACAGCCUGGGGACUCCACUCCUCAGGCUACACCUCGUCCCUCCGUCCCUAUGGCUCUGUCAGGCUCCUCCUUCCCUCCGUCCUAGACCUCAGUCCUCUGUCGCUCCGGCUCCACGGCGGCCUUCCGGACCCCCGCCUCUGCCUCGGUCGCCGGCGCCAUCUGCUCCGCCUUGGCCCUUCAGAUCCUCAGUGUUGCCCUGGCUCAUCGGCUCUCCGUCUCCGCCUCGGGCUCUUCCACCUGCUCUGUUGCCGUCAGUCGGCCCCCUGGAGUUGUCAGCCCUUCCUCCACCAUGGCUCCUCCCUCCGUCGGCUCCACCGUGGGCUGCCAUCAUGGCUGGGGCCUGGGUCCCGCCUGGCUCCUCCUCCUGCUCCAGUUCCCUUUUGUCAUCACCCUGGCUCCUCCCUCUGUCAUCACCACCCUGGACUCUGUUUAUCGUCCUCCUCCCGGUCAUCCGGCCACCUCCUGAACCUCUUCCCGCCAGUUUGUACCAAUCUUUGGCCAUCCCUCCAUCUCCUUCAUUCUCUAUGGCGCGGGGGCGCGCCUUCCGGGAGGGGGGUGAAAUGUAAAUGUAACACCCUAUGGACUUUUGUGUUUGUUUUCAUUUCAUCCCUUGUGUUAUUUGACCUAGUUCCUGUCUCCUGUUAAUUGUGUCAUUAUGUUCAGGUGUGUUAAAUCAUUAUCCUCAUUUACGUUCCCCUUAUAAAUUGCAUUCUGUUCAGUGUUUCUUUGUCCGGUAUUACGUUUGUGUUGGUGUGUGGCU
This 1087-nucleotide long non-coding RNA is filed under the name Sinocyclocheilus grahami. Its description in RNAcentral is "lncRNA (ENSSGRG00000037148.1)". The record is from RNAcentral. Lineage: Eukaryota; Metazoa; Chordata; Actinopteri; Cypriniformes; Cyprinidae.